CCUACGGGAGGCAGCAGUAGGGAAUCAUCCGCAAUGGACGAAAGUCUGACGGUGCAACGCCGCGUGAGUGAGGAAGGUCUUCGGAUCGUAAAACUCUGUUGUUAGGGAAGAACAAGUCCCGUUCGAAUAGGGCGGGGCCUUGACGGUACCUAACCAGAAAGCCACGGCUAACUACGUGCCAGCAGCCGCGGUA
Molecule: ribosomal RNA, 193 nt
Filed under: uncultured Filobacillus sp.
Lineage: Bacteria; Bacillati; Bacillota; Bacilli; Caryophanales; Bacillaceae
Description: partial 16S ribosomal RNA
Rfam family: Bacterial small subunit ribosomal RNA
Source: RNAcentral